Molecule: unclassified non-coding RNA, 330 nt
Filed under: soil metagenome
Description: partial contains 5.8S ribosomal RNA, internal transcribed spacer 2, and large subunit ribosomal RNA
Rfam family: 5.8S ribosomal RNA (bases 1-120)
Source: RNAcentral
GAUGAAGAACGCAGCGAAAUGCGAUAAGUAAUGUGAAUUGCAGAAUUCAGUGAAUCAUCGAAUCUUUGAACGCACAUUGCGCCCUCUGGUAUUCCGGGGGGCAUGCCUGUUCGAGCGUCAUUACAACCCUCAAGCUUUGCUUGGUAUUGGACAUUGCCAGUUUCUGGCAGGUCUUAAAAUCAGUGGCGGUGCCAUUUGGCUUCAAGCGUAGUAAUUCUUCUCGCUUUGGAGAUCCAAGUGGUUACUUGCCAAUAACCCCCAAUUUUUUCAGGUUGACCUCGGAUCAGGUAGGGAUACCCGCUGAACUUAAGCAUAUCAAUAAGCGGAAGA